This 737-nucleotide long non-coding RNA is filed under the name Mytilus galloprovincialis (Mediterranean mussel). Lineage: Eukaryota; Metazoa; Mollusca; Bivalvia; Mytilida; Mytilidae. The record is from RNAcentral.
UGCUUUUAUUUCUAGCAUCAUGACAAAAUUGUGGCCAUUCUGAACGUCCUCUAAUUGUAUGAGAACAGGUUAUUGAUUUCACAUUUUCUGGAGGAAUUUUCAAAUUUCAAAAUAUUGCGCGAGUCAUGCAUUAGGUUCAGAGACUGUGACUCCCUUUGUUUUCAACUAUUAGAAUACAGCUCAAUAACAUUAGUUAGGUAGUGUGCUAAUGACCUAAUACGAUAUUUAUAGGGUCAGUAAAUUCCACAUGGGGUGAGAGCAAAACUCGAAUCCCCAUAUGGUCUUUACUGACCCAUAUACAUAGUACGCUGUGUAACCAACUUACUCUACCGACUAUCUUAACAUGUGGUAUUUAGAAUAGUGGCCUUUCAAAGUCUUCAGUACUUAGUAUUCAGAACCUACUUACAUUUGUCUGUACAAAAAGAAAUGCCAUCAAUAACAAUUUGUUAUCUUAAAAUGCGUUUUAUUGAUUUAUUUUAAUAGUUCAUCAUCAAUUUUCUUGUUCUGCUGAAACCUUUCAGAUUUUUUUCCAAGCACCAUGUUGUUUUUAUAAAAAGACAUAACAUCACAACUAACCGUGUAUUGAAAUAAUCUCCCAUCUUUUUUUGUUUUAAAGGGAAGUAUCUCCUUAAUAACCCCAUAUUGUAACUUACUCUAUAUUUUAGGACACCCUAUUAAAUAUAUGCAGUCACCUAGUGUAGUCCUUUAAAAAUCAUAUCCCCAUAAAUCUGUAGGAG